CGGAACAUAGCUCAGUUGGUAGAGCACCUGUCUUAUACACAGCAAGUCCCUAGUUCGAUUCUAGGUGUUCCGA
RNAcentral lists this transfer RNA (73 nucleotides) under [Clostridium] symbiosum. RNAcentral's name for it is "tRNA-Ile". It matches the Rfam family "tRNA". Rfam says of the family: Transfer RNA (tRNA) molecules are approximately 80 nucleotides in length. Their secondary structure includes four short double-helical elements and three loops (D, anti-codon, and T loops). Further hydrogen bonds mediate the characteristic L-shaped molecular structure. tRNAs have two regions of fundamental functional importance: the anti-codon, which is responsible for specific mRNA codon recognition, and the 3' end, to which the tRNAs corresponding amino acid is attached (by aminoacyl-tRNA synthetases). tRNAs cope with the degeneracy of the genetic code in two manners: having more than one tRNA (with a specific anti-codon) for a particular amino acid; and 'wobble' base-pairing, i.e. permitting non-standard base-pairing at the 3rd anti-codon position. The record is from RNAcentral. RNAcentral also lists the same sequence under 2 other names. Lineage: Bacteria; Bacillati; Bacillota; Clostridia; Lachnospirales; Lachnospiraceae.